Non-coding RNA from Salmo salar (Atlantic salmon), 58 nucleotides. NCBI's taxonomy places the organism in Eukaryota, Metazoa, Chordata, Actinopteri, Salmoniformes, Salmonidae. The record is from Rfam.
UGGCUCAGUUGGUAGGGCAUGGUGUGUGCAACGCCAGGGUUGUGGGUUCGAUUCCCAC